RNAcentral lists this ribosomal RNA (615 nucleotides) under uncultured bacterium. RNAcentral describes it as "bacterial SSU rRNA". It matches the Rfam family "Bacterial small subunit ribosomal RNA", at positions 54 to 682 of the family's 1533-position model. The record is from RNAcentral.
CAUGCAAGUCGAACGAGAGAGAGGGAGCUUGCUUCCUCAAUCGAGUGGCGAACGGGUGAGUAACGCGUGAGGAACCUGCCUCAAAGAGGGGGACAACAGUUGGAAACGACUGCUAAUACCGCAUAAGCCCACGACCCGGCAUCGGGAAGAGGGAAAAGGAGCAAUCCGCUUUGAGAUGGCCUCGCGUCCGAUUAGCUAGUUGGUGAGGUAACGGCCCACCAAGGCGACGAUCGGUAGCCGGACUGAGAGGUUGAACGGCCACAUUGGGACUGAGACACGGCCCAGACUCCUACGGGAGGCAGCAGUGGGGAAUAUUGCACAAUGGGGGAAACCCUGAUGCAGCGACGCCGCGUGGAGGAAGAAGGUCUUCGGAUUGUAAACUCCUGUUGUUGAGGAAGAUAAUGACGGUACUCAACAAGGAAGUGACGGCUAACUACGUGCCAGCAGCCGCGGUAAAACGUAGGUCACAAGCGUUGUCCGGAAUUACUGGGUGUAAAGGGAGCGCAGGCGGGCGAUCAAGUUGGAAGUGAAAUCCAUGGGCUCAACCCAUGAACUGCUUUCAAAACUGGUCGUCUUGAGUAGUGCAGAGGUAGGCGGAAUUCCCGGUGUAGCGGU